RNAcentral lists this ribosomal RNA (30 nucleotides) under Pratylenchus neglectus. RNAcentral's name for it is "partial 28S ribosomal RNA". The record is from RNAcentral. Lineage: Eukaryota; Metazoa; Nematoda; Chromadorea; Rhabditida; Pratylenchidae.
GGCGUGAGUACCCGCUGAACUUAAGCAUAU